This is a long non-coding RNA of Raphanus sativus (radish), 577 nucleotides long. RefSeq lists it as uncharacterized. The record is from RefSeq and is a predicted model, not a curated record. The transcript is spliced from 2 exons. Lineage: Eukaryota; Viridiplantae; Streptophyta; Magnoliopsida; Brassicales; Brassicaceae.
CCAAUCUGUCGUGAGUUUCAUCUCUAAAAUCCCUAAUUUCACUUUUCUUCUUCAUCAUCUCUCUCAGAACCCCGAAACCUUGAAAAUAUGAGGAUUAAAUUAAAACGAGGCAAAAAGCUAAUUCUGAAGCGGAAGAAAGGACAGAAUGAGUCUUCUUCGUCCCAACAAACUAAGCUAUCCCGAGACAAGCGUGUGAUGACAUGUUCUAACUGUCUUCAAGAAGGUCACACCAAAACCAAAUGUUCAAAUGAAACUGUUGAGAGGCCUCCAAAGAAACCAAGAGGUCGACCAAGACUUAAUUUUGAGGGAGAACCUUCACAAGGGGUGUCUCAAGGAAAUUCUGAAUGAAUGUCUCAAGGACAAUCACAGCUACCCUGAAUUGUUUGGAGUCUAAAAGCCUCAGUCUAAUUUUUUUUUUAUUGUUGUUCAUGCUGGAUUGUUUUCUCUCGGAUGGGUGGUGUUUUUUUUUCUUCUUAUUUCGGCUAGAGUUCAAAAUGAUUUAUGCAUAACAACUUCAUGGUUUUUUUUUCUUAUUUCAGUUUCUCUGCAAUGUUAGUAAUCGUAAGAGUUGUUCUUU